RNAcentral lists this long non-coding RNA (986 nucleotides) under Spirodela polyrhiza (greater duckweed). Its description in RNAcentral is "long non-coding RNA (SPOL_LNC001247)". The record is from RNAcentral. Lineage: Eukaryota; Viridiplantae; Streptophyta; Magnoliopsida; Alismatales; Araceae.
UUUAACGGCGGCCAGCGUCGCUGACUAUCUCGAGUCUUUCCUUGUUUAAAAUUUUGCAGGACAUGUGCGGCAAUGUGGAGGCCGUCCUCUCGGCCGCCCUGGCGAAGUGGGAGGUGAUCCUCUGUUCAUCAGCUCGCUUGAGUCCGAUCUAUGCCCGAGUUCUGUCGGAUCCUUUUCUCCGGCGCAUGAUCACCAGGUACCUCGCGAUGAACAGAAUUUCCGCCAAGAUUUAAUCUUCUUUUAUUGGAUAAUAACAGGUCCUCGUGAGUUGACUUUAUAUUUUUCUGGGAUCGAUCUUUGUCUCCGUCGAUGAUUCAUCUGCACGAAGAAUUCUCUACUUUAUCAGGAGAUCAGAUCAGCGCCGCGAUUCAAAACUUGGUUAUAUAUAUAUAUCAUAUUUCAAAGAAAUUACUUAAACGCCGCAACGUUCUUCGCAGGUUCAUCUUCUGCCGAUCCGCGCUAUCUCUGUUCCGGCGCGGAGGGGACGGAGGGGAGGAGUACCUGCCGGAGUGCUCGCCGGAGCUCCCGGAGGCCGUCUCGCCGGAGUCGUCGGCGGUGCAGUCGGGGCUCCGGCAGGUGGCGGAGGGCCUCGGCGUCGCCGGCUGCUUCCGCUUUUCGGAGGGAUCUACUUGGAAGAGAGAGCUGUAAAUUUCCGUUUGAGCUGUAGAUAACGAUGCAGAUCGUUGAUCCCCUCCCCCCCCCGCCCCCAAUUUUUUGUCCACUGUCCGGCGAUUAUUGAUCGGCCAGGCGGCAGGUGGUCGCUAGGGUUUUAUUGAGGUCGAGGACCGCCCCCUCCCGCCUGUUGCUUCACCGCGACGGCGGUUCUCCGGCGGCCCGCGGUGGCGGCGCCGGCGGACCCGCUGGUGUGCGACUGGCCGUCUGGGUACUCUCUUUUCGUGCUCGUAUUUGAGUGAAUUCCCAUGUUUAUGGCCUCAAUCGACGUCUCCAUCUUCAGAGAGAGAGAGAGAGAGAGAGAGAGAGAGAGG